CGGGGUUUAGCUCAUUGAUAGAGCACUUAUCUCACACGUGUGAGGCACUGGGUUCAACCCUCAGAACCACAU
Molecule: transfer RNA, 72 nt
Filed under: Ictidomys tridecemlineatus (thirteen-lined ground squirrel)
Lineage: Eukaryota; Metazoa; Chordata; Mammalia; Rodentia; Sciuridae
Description: Spermophilus tridecemlineatus (thirteen-lined ground squirrel) tRNA
Rfam family: tRNA
About the family: Transfer RNA (tRNA) molecules are approximately 80 nucleotides in length. Their secondary structure includes four short double-helical elements and three loops (D, anti-codon, and T loops).
Source: Rfam by way of RNAcentral